Molecule: long non-coding RNA, 583 nt
Organism: Lotus japonicus
Lineage: Eukaryota; Viridiplantae; Streptophyta; Magnoliopsida; Fabales; Fabaceae
Exons: 3
Source: RefSeq, a predicted model, not a curated record
AAAAAAAAUUGCUUCUCAUUUUCACGCUACCUCACUCGUCUUCUCCAUAAUUCCGUGUUCAUCAAAAACCGAUCUGUGUGAAGCGUUCGGCUACUGAUCAAAUCUCAAGAUCAAGUAAACCAGAGAGUUUGCGGUUGUUUGAAAGUGAAAUCAAUGGCGUUCAUGAAGGGGAAACCAUUGGUUACCAAAGUGGCAGCGUUGGCGAGGUAUGGGUUGCUUCCAGGGGCCAUGGUGGCUGCUCUCGUGUACUCUCCACCUAAUUCCUCAUCUUUAUCCACCAACCGCGCUUCCGCCGCCACCACCAACUAGGGCUAUGGUUUGCUCGUCGAUGCAAGUCAGCAAUAUGUGGCUCAUGUGACUCCUUUGAUGAAGUAUGUUCUGUAAUAAAGUGAGUGACUAGAUUUCUUUAGAAAUUUUUAGAUUGGGAUUGUUGUGGGAAGAAUAUCGCCAAUCUGGAUUCUGUGCAGUUAAAUAUUUUCAAGAGCAUCGCUGAAAUUACUACCGAUUCACUUAGCCCCAUGUAUUAUCAAUUGUGGGAGGCCAUUUUGAAUAAUGUGUGGCGUUUGAUCCCUUCCUUUUCCUA